ACGAACGCUGGCGGCGUGCUUAACCCAUGCAAGUCGCACGGAAAGGCCCUGCUUUUGUGGGGUGCUCGAGUGGCGAACGGGUGAGUAACACGUGAGUAACCUGCCCUUGACUUUGGGAUAACUUCAGGAAACUGGGGCUAAUACCGGAAAGGAGCUCCUGCUGCAUGGUGGGGGUUGGAAAGUUUGGGCGGUUGGGGAUGGACUCGCGGCUUAUCAGCUUGUUGGGGGGGUAGUGGCUUACCAAGGCUUUGACGGGUAGCCGGCCUGAGAGGGUGACCGGCCACAUUGGGCCUGCGAUACGGCCCAGACUCCUACGGGAGGCAGCAGUGGGGAAUAUUGCACAAUGGGCGGAAGCCUGAUGCAGCAACGCCGCGUGCGGGAUGACGGCCUUCGGGUUGUAAACCGCUUUCGCCUGUGACGAAGCGUGAGUGACGGUAAUGGGUAAAGAAGCACCGGCUAACUACGUG
This 467-nucleotide ribosomal RNA is filed under the name uncultured bacterium. Its description in RNAcentral is "partial 16S ribosomal RNA". It matches the Rfam family "Bacterial small subunit ribosomal RNA", at positions 29 to 507 of the family's 1533-position model. The record is from RNAcentral.